GGGGGGGGGGGCGUGCCUACCAUGCAAGUCGAACGGGGCGCGCAGGCUGAGGCUUUUCGGAGCGGAAGCCUGCGCUGCCCAGUGGCGGACGGGUGAGUAACGCGUGGGCAACCUGCCCAGCACUGGGGGACAACAGCCGGAAACGGCUGCUAAUACCGCAUAUGCCCGCAGCCCCGCAUGGGGCGGCGGGGGAAGCUCCGGCGGUGCAGGAUGGGCCCGCGUCUGAUUAGCUGGUUGGCGGGGCAACGGCCCACCAAGGCGACGAUCAGUAGCCGGCCUGAGAGGGUGGGCGGCCACAUUGGGACUGAGACACGGCCCAGACUCCUACGGGAGGCAGCAGUGGGGGAUAUUGCACAAUGGGGGGAACCCUGAUGCAGCGACGCCGCGUGGGCGAUGGAGUGCUUCGGCAUGUAAAGCCCUAUCAGCAGGGAAGAAAAUGACGGUACCUGACUAAGAAGCCCCGGCUAAAUACGUGCCAGCAGCCGCGGUAAUACGUAUGGGGCAAGCGUUAUCCGGAUUUACUGGGUGUAAAGGGAGCGUAGGCGGCCUGGCAAGCCUGAUGUGAAAUACCGGGGCCCAACCCCGGGGCUGCAUUGGGAACUGCCAGGCUGGAGUGCCGGAGAGGCAGGCGGAAUUCCUAGUGUAGCGGUGAAAUGCGUAGAUAUUAGGAGGAACACCAGUGGCGAAGGCGGCCUGCUGGACGGUGACUGACGCUGAGGCUCGAAAGCGUGGGGAGCAAACAGGAUUAGA
Molecule: ribosomal RNA, 750 nt
Filed under: uncultured bacterium
Lineage: Bacteria
Description: bacterial SSU rRNA
Rfam family: Bacterial small subunit ribosomal RNA
Source: RNAcentral